This 128-nucleotide unclassified non-coding RNA is filed under the name rhizosphere metagenome. Its description in RNAcentral is "partial ribosomal RNA internal transcribed spacer region". The record is from RNAcentral.
GAUGUGCGCAAGCACUUUUCCCUUCAUACACCUGUGCACCGUGGUCUUCGGACCUUUACAAACAUUGUAGUCAAGAACGUCUUUUAUGAUAACAAAAUAAAACUUUCAACAACGGAUCUCUUGGCUCU